UCAUAGCUCAAUAAUCAUGUCUACAACCGUACACCUUCUCAAACUUCUUUUCAUGAUCCUCUUCUCAUGCAUAUGGAGUACUCCUUAUGCUGCAGGAGAAUGGUGGAAUUUAACAUGGGCAGGUGAUGGUCUCAAACCAGGUGACACCCUCAAUUCCUCAUCUUACCUAACUUCUCCAAAUAAAACUUUCUCUUUGUGGUUCUUCCCAUGGGGCAAUACUACUAACUCCUUGUCGUCGUUGGGAAUAUCAGACUUUGCCACAAAUUUUAUAGUAUGGUCGGCUAGUCCAAGCAAACCUAUUGCCAACAACUCCGGAGUACUUACCUUAGAUAACACAGGAACACUUAAAAUCACACGCCUAGGUAGUGAUCCAAUAGUGUUACACUCUUCUUCUCAACCUACCAAUAACACUAUCGCUAUUCUAUUGGAUUCUGGCAAUUUUGUCUUGAGAGAAUUGCACUCUAAUGGAACUAUAAAGCAAGUGUUGUGGCAAAGUUUUGAUUAUCCUACAAACACCCUUUUACCAGGUAUGAAAUUAGGUAUCAGCCAUAGAAAUAAUCUAACUUGGUCGCUUACAUCAUGGUUAAGUGACAACUACCCAGUUCCUGGUCCUUUCUCUCUUAGAUGUGACCCUAAUGGACGUCAAUUAGUCAUUCAGAAAGAAGGUGUGGUUUAUUGGGAAAGUGGGGUGUUGAGAGGCACAACAUAUCAAAAUAAUUUACCAGACGAAACAAGGUCCAUGCAUGUAUGAUUUUGUUACUGUUUCAAAUGAGGAUGAGGAAUAUUUUUCUUUCAUAAAUAAAAACCAAAGCAAAUUGUCCAAAUGAGUGCUAACUCCUAUAGGGCAAAUGAAGGAUUUGGAAGGACCUGUUACUGCACGAGUGGAUGCUUGUGAUGGCUAUAACACUAAUGGGGGAUGCAAGAGAUGGGAGUGUAAGCGGGAGAUUGUGUCUAGUGACCCAUUUGAUGUUAGAUCUGGUUAUUUUGUUGAAGAUGGAGAUCAUUCAACUAACUUGUCAAGUCCAAGGCUUGGCUUCAGUGAUUGUAGAGCUACUUGCUUGAGCAACUGUAGCUAUGUGGCUUUUGCUUCUCUCUAUGAAAAUGGUACUGGGUGCCGGUUUUGGACAGAUAUGUCGAUGUUCCUUCAGAGCAACUCGGUUGGUUCAACUUCUGUAUAUACGCUAUCAUUAAAGCCUUCU
Quercus lobata is the source of this 1199-nucleotide RNA transcript. It is a transcript of the gene named G-type lectin S-receptor-like serine/threonine-protein kinase CES101, with no coding region annotated. The transcript has a single exon. Lineage: Eukaryota; Viridiplantae; Streptophyta; Magnoliopsida; Fagales; Fagaceae. The record is from RefSeq and is a predicted model, not a curated record.